GUGGCCCGUAGCUCAAUUGGCAGAGCAGCCGGCGGUAAUUCGGCGCGUCUCGGUUCGAGUCCGGGCGGGCUACC
Molecule: transfer RNA, 74 nt
Filed under: Mycobacterium phage Lucky2013
Lineage: Duplodnaviria; Heunggongvirae; Uroviricota; Caudoviricetes
Description: tRNA-Tyr
Rfam family: tRNA
About the family: Transfer RNA (tRNA) molecules are approximately 80 nucleotides in length. Their secondary structure includes four short double-helical elements and three loops (D, anti-codon, and T loops). Further hydrogen bonds mediate the characteristic L-shaped molecular structure. tRNAs have two regions of fundamental functional importance: the anti-codon, which is responsible for specific mRNA codon recognition, and the 3' end, to which the tRNAs corresponding amino acid is attached (by aminoacyl-tRNA synthetases). tRNAs cope with the degeneracy of the genetic code in two manners: having more than one tRNA (with a specific anti-codon) for a particular amino acid; and 'wobble' base-pairing, i.e. permitting non-standard base-pairing at the 3rd anti-codon position.
Source: RNAcentral